GAUGAACGCUGGCGGCGUGUCUAACACAUGCAAGUCGAACGAAGCACAUUGGAUUGAUUCUUCGGAUGAAGACCUUUGUGACUGAGCGGCGGACGGGUGAGUAACGCGUGGGUAACCUGCCUCAUACAGGGGGAUAACAGUUAGAAAUGACUGCUAAUACCGCAUAAGACCACAGUACCGCAUGGUACAGGGGUAAAAACUCCGGUGGUAUGAGAUGGACCCGCGUCUGAUUAGCUGGUUGGUGGGGUAACGGCCUACCAAGGCGACGAUCAGUAGCCGGCCUGAGAGGGCGACGGCCACAUUGGGACUGAGACACGGGCCCAAACUCCUACGGGAGGCAGCAAGUGGGGAAUAUUGCACAAUGGGCGAAAGCCUGAUGCAGCGACGCCGCGUGAGCGAUGAAGUAUUUC
This 410-nucleotide ribosomal RNA is filed under the name uncultured bacterium. RNAcentral's name for it is "bacterial SSU rRNA". It matches the Rfam family "Bacterial small subunit ribosomal RNA", at positions 28 to 419 of the family's 1533-position model. The record is from RNAcentral.